UACGUAGGGUGCAAGCGUUAAUCGGAAUUACUGGGCGUAAAGCGUGCGCAGGCGGUUGUGCAAGACAGAGGUGAAAUCCCCGGGCUUAACCUGGGAAUGGCCUUUGUGACUGCACGGCUAGAGUGUGUCAGAGGGGGGUAGAAUUCCACGUGUAGCAGUGAAAUGCGUAGAGAUGUGGAGGAAUACCGAUGGCGAAGGCAGCCCCCUGGGAUAACACUGACGCUCAUGCACGGAAGCGUGGGGAGCAAACAGG
This 253-nucleotide ribosomal RNA is filed under the name uncultured bacterium. RNAcentral describes it as "partial 16S ribosomal RNA". It matches the Rfam family "Bacterial small subunit ribosomal RNA", at positions 524 to 776 of the family's 1533-position model. The record is from RNAcentral.